Molecule: non-coding RNA, 24 nt
Filed under: Arabidopsis thaliana (thale cress)
Lineage: Eukaryota; Viridiplantae; Streptophyta; Magnoliopsida; Brassicales; Brassicaceae
Source: RNAcentral
GAUGAAUUAAUAAAUACGAUAAAU